GGGGGUGUAGCUCAGAGGUAGAGCGUUCGCUUUGCAUGUGAAAAGUCCCGGGUUCGAACCCCGGCUCCUCCA
This is a non-coding RNA of Macrostomum lignano, 72 nucleotides long. The record is from Rfam. NCBI's taxonomy places the organism in Eukaryota, Metazoa, Platyhelminthes, Macrostomidae.